AUAAAUUGUGGAAUGUAUUCUAUAAUUGCCAAUGAAAAUAAAAUAUUGUUAAUUACAUUCAAAAUGGAUCGGAUUGAUGCUUGACUUUACAAUUGAAUCAGCGGCUAAAGGAAGUAAACUGGAGAAUUGGCACUGAAAAAUGUGUAUUCUGGUUAAAGAGGCUGCCACAUCAUCGGGUCAACUAAAGUCCUGGCCUCCGUUAUACUAUUGGUCCACUACAGCCUCCGACAUUAUAAAAUUGAUGCAAAAAUAUCCCUCUGCCGCUAGUACCCUCCACCUCGACAAUAUUAUCCCAUGGCAUACCACCUCAUCACACUUAUCCCAUUUUACCCCUCCACUACUUCUUCUUCUUCCACCACCACCUCCCUCUUCAUCCAACUACAACCAACAUCACCUUCUGCUUUACCGCACACCUAUUCGUUCACUAGUAUCAGACCACUAGUCUUGACCCCAUUUAAUCUCUAUUUUUUCACCAAAAAUCAAACUGAAUCAAAACUUUGAUUUUUGGGUUUCAUUUUCCAAUUUGAUUUUAGAUUUUGGUUUAAAAUAAG
This 551-nucleotide long non-coding RNA is filed under the name Nicotiana benthamiana. RNAcentral describes it as "long non-coding RNA (NBEN_LNC018940)". Lineage: Eukaryota; Viridiplantae; Streptophyta; Magnoliopsida; Solanales; Solanaceae. The record is from RNAcentral.